Notolabrus celidotus (New Zealand spotty) is the source of this 6533-nucleotide RNA transcript. It is a transcript of the gene named nascent polypeptide associated complex subunit alpha, with no coding region annotated. The record is from RefSeq and is a predicted model, not a curated record. Lineage: Eukaryota; Metazoa; Chordata; Actinopteri; Labriformes; Labridae. The transcript is spliced from 6 exons.
UCUCUUACAGCCAUCUUGGAUAUAACGUCCCAAGUCGCAACCAUGCCCGGUGAAGCCACAGAAACGGUCCCUGUGACCGAGCAGGAGAUGCAGCAGCCUCAAGUGGAGACUGGUUUGUAUAUUUUAUUUUCUCAUAAACGUGCAUGUUAGACUGCAUAUGAAACGGUGGGGUCCUGGAGCUCUUAAAAAAGUGAUUUAUUCAACAAAUAUCUGUCUGUGAUGGGCUAUUUGUUGAUUCAGAGGGACAGUGGUGCUUAAAAUGUUGAGUUUCUGGUAUGGGUUGUUUACUCAGCUGGUUUGACCUGAGUUGGUCUAACAGGUGAUAGUUGUUCUGUCACCAGACACAGUUGUAAAUGUAGUGUUACUCUUUACUAGGGUUUUCUCUGCCGGUCUGCCCCUCUUGUCUCUAAAGGAGUAAUCCAGGACCCCUCUUGUAUUUACACAAACUCACAAUGGUGUGUGGUGAACUAGCACUGACAUUGGGAUUUAGCAAACAAUGCAUGGUAUUGAGUGUUUUUCCCUGUGCACCUUUUAAAAACUCACUUUUUAGAGCCUGAAAUUAGUUUAGUAGCCAAAGCACAGGUCAAUCUUUGUCGCAUUUAAGCUUGACUAAAGAAUCUCAUUGUUUAACAAUUACUUUUUAUACAGCUAUAACUUAAAGUAUAAUAUUUCUGGGUAAUGAAUGUGUGAUUAAAAACAUCAGAUAACUGGUUUAUAAAGGCAGAAUGGGUUUUUCUGUUUUUUGUUUGUAGAUGACCUCAAGUAUGGAUGUGUCUGAGUCAGUGUGAUGGUGAGGAGUCCUCACAACACUGAAUCAUGACUGUUCAGAUGUCAGUAAAGUUACUGAUAAAACUUUCACAUUUUUCUUUUACACAUUUUAUUGAUUUUAUGCAACACUUUUCACCAGGAUGCUCCUUAAUGUGUUACUCUGGUAAUGAUCUUUUGAUGGGUGGAGGUGCAUAUUGACAAGUGGGGCAGGUUAUAUUAUAUUGAUAUUUUAACUGAUAAGUGGCAGACAGCACGAAAAAAGUGGCUAAUAGGCAAGCUCAUUGGUCAGUACAUUGUUCCAUACGGAUUCAGGUCCAUGUGCUUUAAGAAGCCAUAGUCAAUCUAGUUAUUUUUUUCAGCUUUCCUUCCUGUUCUGUUUAUUUUUUUUAACAUCUAAUCUAAUUUAGUUGAUAAACUGGUUAGCUAUAUUUGGGGUCAGUGUUGAAAUUAUUAAAACAUUACUAAAUAGGGUUAACAGUGGUAAUCUUGUGCACUUAUUUUUUGUUCGACAUCACAAUAAUCAUGUAAAGACAAUCAGGGACUUCACAGAUGCAGCUCCUACACCUGAAGGUUCAUUACCCGAACACCACUCAAAUAAGGGCAACUGUUGGAUCGUUACCAUUUGAAUAAGAGUCCUUCUUAAAUGGAUUAAAGAAUGACUUUGGAUUUUGGGUUUUUAGAUUGUUGUCAUGCAUUGUCUGCCUUCAUGGAAUAAUGGAGGUUUUUACUCACCCCUUACCUCACACUAAACCACUGCAUGGAGAUGGGAUUUGGGUAACCUUUUUUCCUAAGGUGCACUAAACACCCCCUCGUUGUUAACACGGGCUUACCAGGAGUCACUUCCACGUCUUCAACCUCUUUCACAAACUCAUCAGUACCAUUCACGUGUGGAGCACUAUGUUGUUUUUAUUACACCCUGAAAGUGAACUUCUCCCAAAACCAACUACCUUGAUUGCCCUCCCUCAUGUUACCCAUGAUGCCUGUCCUUUAUCAGCUGCAGUAUUGAAUUCACCUACUCCUCUCGAGACUGCUGACGCUACAGUGAGCAAGACAACCCCUCUGGAGAAAACUCCAGAAGCCGCUGUUUCUACUCAAGAGAUAGGCUCCCCAGAAGAAGCAAGCAUUCAGACUACUGUUGAUCAGUCGAACGGAGAAGCUGUGAUCCAAGAAGUAGCUGAGCAAAUAGAGGAGACAACACCUGUUCCACCGCAAGAGGUGACUGCUGAGCCAGCCGCCACCGCCGCUCCAGCUGAUGUGUCGGUUCCAGAAGAGUCUGUGGCCCCUGCUGAAGCUCCUGUUGCGCCAUCAGAAGAUCUGCAAGCUGAUGAAGUAGCAGCUCCAAUUCAAGAGUUAGUUGCUGCCACUGAAGAAUUGACCAUCCAAGACGUUGCACAGGUUUCUGUUGAAGAUGAGCCAGCAGCUGAUUUGUCAGUUCCUGAAGAGUCUGCGCCUCCUGCUGAAGCCCCUGUGGUGUCGUCGGAAAAUCUGCAAGCUGAUGAAGUAGCAGCUCCAAUUACAGAGUCAGUUGUUGCUGCUGAAGAAUCGGCCGUCCAAGACAUUACCUCUGUUGAAGACGAGCCAGCAGCUGUGCCAGAAGAAAUCCCUGCUGAUCCAGUACCAUGUGCUCCUGAAGGCGUCAGUGCAAACACUGAAGAUGUGACGGCAACUGAUGCUCCAAAGACUGAGGUAGAAGAACAGACGAAAUCGGAAGUGGUUCAAGAUGCCGUGUUGCCUGCUGAUGUGAUCGUCGAUGUGGCUACUCAAAAUGAAAAACCCAACAAAGAAGAGCCUGUUACACUUCCCACAAAAGCCAUUCAGUCAAAGGGGACCUCCAAAUGUGACGGCCCUCCUCUUUCCACUCACCACCUGUCAGGUUGGUUUAUCUUGUGUGAAAGAGGUGCUUCUUAAUUUUAAAUGCACCACUUAAUUGGAGGGAAAUGGUCAUCUAAGUGAUAAACAUGCAGCUGAGUUUAGGUAUCACAUAUCUUACACUAAACAGUACAUGUGAGAGAGGUACCUAAAUGGUUUCAGGCCUUCAGGGCAGGUCGGGGGCUAUCCUGACAUUAGAAUUUUCUCUUUUUACUUUCUAGAUUUUUCUAAAUGGUUGGUCAUUUUCUUCCAGUUUGUUCCAUUUCUUUAUGAAGCCAAAUUAAUUUUCAUACAAAGUCUUUUCGGGUAAGUGUUGGUCAGUUCUGCCUUGAAGUGCUAGCAGGUGCAUUUAUGCGUACAGGCCCAGCUAUCAGCAAGGGGGUAUUUUCUUUGUGCUGUUGUGAUAAAUGCAUUUGAUUUGAUUUUUCUCUUAAGGGCAUCUUGAGUUAAUAUGUGUUCCUUGUGUUUGGAAGUAGUUGGUAUGCAUUGUGCAUUUAGAGUGACAAAUACAUCAAACUCUGAAGUUAGGCUUUUGUGUCCUUUUCCUAACCCUGAUCGGAGGACAGUGCAUCUUGGUUUUUGAUCAAUUAACUCGCAUGGGUUCGACCUUCCCCUUCUCAUCCAAAGACUUUAAAGAAAUCCUUUUCUUAUUCAGCUACACCUCCUGCCCCAGCUUCCUCCCAGAAACCCGAGGCAGCUUCAGGUCCUGCAAAGCCGAAAGGCAAAGAUGCCAAAAGUGCUCAGGGUCCCUCUGCCCCAAAGGCUGUCCCUGGCAGAAGAAAACGCUCCUCCAUGUCUGCCUCCUCCUCUUCUCCCACCUCACCAAAAUCUGCUACCUCAACCCCACUCUCUCCUUUAGUAUCUCCCCUAGCUUCCUCACCUGGCGGUGCCUCUGCUAACCCGGCUAACCGCUUCACCCCAAAGGUUGUCAAGGCUGGCAAACAAGGAAAAGCUAAAAAAGCCGAGGUGUUUGUGCCUGCCCCUGUCUCUGCACCUGUGGAGUGCAAGAUGGCGGCAGCAGAUGAAAAAUUUGCAGCAACUGCUGCUCCAGUUGAGCCAAGCAAACCCUCAUCAACUACUGCAAAGCCUGUCACAGCCCCAGCUGCUUUCAAAGUAACCUCAAAGCCUGCUGUGGCAGCUCCAGUUUCAUUUUCUGGGACUCUUGAUUCUAGCCCUCUCAAACCUGUUGAGGUAAAGACACCCACUGCAAAAGCUGCCCCAGUUGUUGCUGUUGUAGAGGAUGAGCUUCCUCCACUUAUCCCUCCAGAGAAGACAAUAAAAUUGCCAGCGACCGUACCCCCUGUGGUCGGGGCUGAAGUGAUUGCUGAAGCUGUCAAGGCCGUUAAGCCAGCUUCUACUGAGGCUCCUAAGGCCAAACCUACCCCUGUUGAGGCUCCUAAGCCAGUGGCAGAGGCCAAGCCCGCUCCUAUUGAGGUUCCUAAGCCAGUUGUAGAAGCCAAGCCGUCUCCUGUUGAGGCUCCUAAGCCAGUUGCAGAGGCCAAGCCUGCUCCCGUUGAGGCUCCUAAGCCAGUUGCAGAGGCCAAGCCUGCUCCCGUGGAGGCUCCUAAGCCAGUUGCAGAGGCCAAGCCUGCUCCCGUCGAGGCUCCUAAGCCAGUUGCAGAGGCCAAGCCUGCUCCCGUUGAGGCUCCUAAGCCAGUUGCAGAGGCCAAGCCUGCUCCCGUUGAGGCUCCUAAGCCAGUUGCAGAGGCCAAGCCUGCUCCUGUUGAGGCUCCUAAGCAAGUUGCAGAAGGCAAGCCUGCUCCUGUUGAGGCUCCCAAGCCCGUUGCUGAGGCCAAGCCUGCUCCUGUUGAGGCUCCCAAGCCAGUUGCAGAGGCCAAGCCUGCUCCUGUUGAGGCUCCCAAGCCAGUUGCAGAGGCCAAGCCUGCUCCUGUUGAUGUUCCUAAGCCUGUUGCCGAGACCAAGCCUGCUCCUGUUGAGGUUCUUAAACCUGUUGAGACUAAACCUGCUCCUAUUGAAGAUGUGAAGCCAGUAGAAGAGGCUAAACCUGCUCCAGUUAAGGCUGAUAAGCCAAUUGAAGAGGCUAAACCUGCUCCUGUGGAGGCUCCUAAACCAGCUGCCAUUGAAGUCAGUAAACCAGCCCCAAUGAAGAUUGCUGAGCCAGUUGCCAUGGCUGAACCAGUCGAGGUCAAGGCUGAGGCUGCUAAGCCUAUCGAACCAGCAGCUGAGCCCUCACCUGCCCCAUUAAAACCCACCACCCCAAUUGAGCCGGCUGCUCCUGCACCAGCUCCACGCAAACUCACAUUUGCUGAGGCUGUCGCAACACCUGCUCCAGCUAAACCCGAGGUAGAGGUAAUCAAUAAAACUCCUUCUGAACCUGUCUCAGCACCCAAACCCGCCCCCACUCCUGCUAAAACCCCAGCCAAGAUGGAGACUGUGAUCAAGAAUGACAAGGGUAUUUUCUUCUUUCUCUCUUUUAUGCCUCCUGUUGUUCCUUCUGUUUCUCUUCUGCAGGACCUGCUCAGAUGCUUAGACAUGUUUGUAGAAAUGUAGGUUGUGAGGUAAACGUAUGUUUUGCGUUAAAUUAACAUGUUGUCGGUACUCAAAGAUACUGCUGAGUUUUUGAAUGGAUGCACUUGCCAGUUCCUUUUUUUCCUUGCAUAUCGUCAGCCAUUUUAUGCUUUUAAUGAAGGUGCGUAGUGCUCAGGCUGUGAAAGAUAGUUUUGGUUUGGAGUUGGUUAUUGUAUCUACAGUGUAGGAAAAUGACUGUCACGCCAACGUGGUUAUUGCAGUUUAUAUUUUCAACUUUUGCCCUGGGUGUAGUUCAGCUCAGGUAAUAGACAGUUUUGGAUCAAUAUUUACUAACUGAUUUUUUGAUUCCCCAGGGUUGAUGCAGCAACAUUUUUUUGAUAAGCAAAUGGAAAGCCAUGAAAUGGGUGGCAUGUGGUGACUAAAUUUAGGUUUCUGUGACUGGUUUCUGUAGGAUCUGGCACUGAGUCAGACAGCGAUGACUCAGUCCCUGAGCUGGAGGAACAGGACUCUGCACAGACACAGACACAGCAAGCUCAGGUGAGAGUUCACAAUGAUUUAAAAUAUUGCGUCCACAGUUGCUUUAGUAAAGAUCCCAACAUCUGCUGCUUAUGUGAAACAUUUUGGGCAGAUGCCCUCCCGUUACUCUUCUGUGAUGAUUAACACAGUGACUUUCGUUCUUCUGAGUCCACUGAAGCCAUUUUAUCUGUCCUGAGAAGAGAAAGCAUCAACACAAUGAAACUAUUUUAAAUUAGUUGAUCAUUUUAUUUCAUCCUCAUUCACGGGACAUACAAUGUCGGAUGUCUGUUACAGCUUGCAGCAGCAGCUGAAAUAGACGAGGAACCAGUCAGCAAAGCCAAACAGAGCCGCAGUGAAAAGAAGGCACGAAAGGCAAUGUCAAAGCUUGGUCUCAGGCAGGUAACAGGGGUCACCAGGGUCACCAUUCGCAAGUCAAAGAACAUCCUGUUCGUCAUUACCAAACCAGACGUCUACAAGAGCCCCGCAUCAGACACAUACAUCGUCUUCGGUGAAGCUAAGAUCGAGGAUCUUUCCCAGCAAGCCCAGCUGGCAGCAGCAGAAAAGUUCAAGGUACAGGGAGAAGCCGUUUCAAAUAUCCAGGAAAACACACAGACGCCAACAGUACAGGAGGAGAGCGAAGAAGAAGAGGUUGAUGAGACCGGAGUCGAGGUUAAGGACAUUGAACUCGUUAUGUCGCAAGCCAACGUGUCGCGAGCGAAGGCUGUACGUGCCCUGAAAAACAACAACAACGACAUUGUCAAUGCUAUUAUGGAGUUGACAAUGUAAGGGGACCCUGACUUGGAAGGGUUGAAGAAAGGUUGCUGAUUUAAGCUCGUUUAUACAAUUUAUACCCAAGAUGGAAAUAAAGUUGUGGCUUGAUGAAAUGAAAA